UUCUUCACUAGUCACCACCAAACCCAAACUUCUCCUUCUUCACCGGUCACCACCAAACCCAGACUUCUCGCCCACUACUACUACCACCACCACCCAUCUCUCUAAACAAAGAACCAACAAAGCCUGUUAUUCACUACUAGGACAGUGAAAUCGCUGUACUACGGAUAACCGAAGAGAACCUCCGUGAUGUUGAUGGCUCCGGCGGUGGAGACGACGAUGAGAGAGAAAGUGAA
This 233-nucleotide long non-coding RNA is filed under the name Panax ginseng (ginseng). Its description in RNAcentral is "long non-coding RNA (PGIN_LNC018134)". Lineage: Eukaryota; Viridiplantae; Streptophyta; Magnoliopsida; Apiales; Araliaceae. The record is from RNAcentral.